CCUGAGUAGAGUGGCGCACGGGUGAGUAACACGUAGAUAAUCUACCUUCAAACCUGGAAUAACUGUUCGAAAGGGCAGCUAAUACCGGAUAAAGUUGAUUCACACAGGUGAGUUAAUGAAAGAUUGCCUCUUCUCGAAAGCAAUUGUUUGGAGAUGAGUCUGCGGACCAUUAGUUUGUUGGUGGGGUAACGGCCUACCAAGACUGCGAUGGUUAGCUGGUCUGAGAGGAUGAUCAGCCACACUGGAACUGACACACGGUCCAGACUCCUACGGGAGGCAGCAGUGAGGAAUUUUGCGCGAUGGGGGUAACCCUGACGCAGCAACGCCGCGUGAGUGACGAAGGCCUUUGGGUCGUAAAGCUCUGUCGACAGGGAAGAAAUUAUAAUCAUCCAAUAGGUGUUUAUAUUGACGGUACCUGUAGAGGAAGCACCGGCUAACUCCGUGCCAGCAGCCGCGGUAACACGGGGGGUGCAAGCGUUAUUCGGAAUUAUUGGGCGUAAAGGGCGCGUAGGCGGUCUUGUCGGUCAGAUGUGAAAGCCCGGGGCUCAACCCUGGAAGUGCAUUUGAAACAGCAAGACUUGAGUACUGGAGAGGAGAGCGGAAUUCCUGGUGUAGAGGUGAAAUUCGUAGAUAUCAGGAGGAACACCGAUGGCGAAGGCAGCUCUCUGGACAGAUACUGACGCUGAGGCGCGAAGGCGUGGGUAGCGAACAGGAUUAGAUACCCUGGUAGUCCACGCAGUAAACGUUGUACACUCGGUGUGCCGGAUAUUAAAAUCUGGUGUGCCUAAGUUAACACA
This 797-nucleotide ribosomal RNA is filed under the name uncultured bacterium. RNAcentral's name for it is "bacterial SSU rRNA". It matches the Rfam family "Bacterial small subunit ribosomal RNA", at positions 85 to 859 of the family's 1533-position model. The record is from RNAcentral.